RNAcentral lists this ribosomal RNA (253 nucleotides) under uncultured bacterium. RNAcentral's name for it is "partial 16S ribosomal RNA". It matches the Rfam family "Bacterial small subunit ribosomal RNA", at positions 524 to 776 of the family's 1533-position model. The record is from RNAcentral.
UACGUAGGGGGCAAGCGUUGUCCGGAUUUAUUGGGCGUAAAGAGCGUGUAGGCGGCUAGGUAGGUCCGUUGUGAAAACUCGAGGCUCAACCUCGAGACGCCGGUGGAAACCAUCUAGCUAGAGUCCGGAAGAGGAGAGUGGAAUUCCUGGUGUAGCGGUGAAAUGCGCAGAUAUCAGGAGGAAUACCGAUGGCGAAGGCAGGUCUCUGGGCUGACACUGACGCUCAUGCACGAAAGCGUGGGGAGCAAACAGG